Molecule: non-coding RNA, 1166 nt
Organism: Solanum lycopersicum (tomato)
Lineage: Eukaryota; Viridiplantae; Streptophyta; Magnoliopsida; Solanales; Solanaceae
Source: RefSeq, a predicted model, not a curated record
AUAAUGUUAGUCGCAAGUCAUAAUUAUAGCAAACUAUAACUAUGAUGAGUAAUUAAAUAAUAUAAGUUUGCUUAGCCGCGUAAUUUUUCUCUUUCCUAAACCCAUAAAAAAAAAACCCAAAGCUUUAGACCUUUUUCUUUAAAAUUCAGCAGCUCAAUAUAAUCUUCUUUCAGCCUAAACCAAAGACCAAGUCCAAGAAACCCACAAACAACAAUACUAUACGUACAUAAUGACCCGCCCCCCAUACUCGUUUUUUUUCCAGCAAGAACAUGCCAAAAUCCAAGUACACCGAUUUGUCCCAGUAUCGUCUUCUUCACGCGUUAUUGUCCAGCAAACACGAAAAAGCGACUCCAACAUCAGUAGCUGCACCAAACGACGUGAACAGUGCUAACAAUAAGCCCACACGUCCCUUUUUCCCCUUUUUUUGGUUGAGUUUGAGAGCAAGAUACAACUCUCCAUUACUUUUUUACUGUUGCCUCGAAAAGGAACGAAUUGAUUCAGUUGGAUUUUGCCCCUUUGUCGCCCAAGAAUUUCUGUAUAAAUAGCCCUUUGCACUCAAGUGAUAAGGACAUGGUUUUGGAAUUUGGAUUCUUAAGACAAGAUUUGAGCUUCGUUUUAAAGAUUGUCACUGCUCUACUUCAAAUUUUUAUGGCUAGUCUUUUGAUUCUAAGUUGAGAGAAGAUCGUCGUCCGAAUUUUCAUAGCUUGCCUUUAAUAUUCGAAGAGAGUGGUGGAAUCGCUCUUCUUGUCGUCCCCAGUAGCUGCCUUGAAAAAGUUAAAUCUGAUUCAAGAAGAAGAAAAGAAGAAAGCUCAAGGACUAGCAGCCAAGACCAAUAAUGUACAAAAAGAAGAAGAAAAAGAUAAAGAGAAUGGGAAGAAAGACAAUCAAGCAAGCAAGAACGAAGAAGAAGAAGAAGAAGAAGAAGAAGAAGAGGAAGAGGAAGAAGAAGAAUACGAUGAGAGGUGGAGGGAAAAUAUUUUAUUUCCACUUUUGGUACAACUUGCUGAUGGCUUCCCCCAAUUUUAAUUCCCAUCAAAAUUGGUUAAAUUAGAUUUUAGUCAAUUUACCCCUUUACCUUUCAUUUAAUUCAAUGGGUCAAACUGUCAACUUAUAAACUUGAGGGUAACUCCACAAUCCUUAAUCAUUAAUCACAUAAUUGUCACCUA